Long non-coding RNA from Acinonyx jubatus (cheetah), 755 nucleotides. RefSeq lists it as uncharacterized. The record is from RefSeq and is a predicted model, not a curated record. NCBI's taxonomy places the organism in Eukaryota, Metazoa, Chordata, Mammalia, Carnivora, Felidae. The transcript is spliced from 2 exons.
UCCAGGUGAGCAGUGGCCACGCCCAGGACAGGAAGCCACACCCCCAUGGCCUGAAUCCACAUCCCACAGGGAAGUUUUAACCCGCAGGCCACGCCCUGAAGAUGGCUGUACCCAAAACCCACGAAACUGAACCCCACACUUCUGUCGACUCCCCAGCACUGACCUGUGACUUCAAAAUGGAUGAUCGUGGAUGGGCCAUGUCGCUCAGUGCCCAACUCGCACCGGCCCUUCUUUGCUAACAGGCAGGCUUCAGUCUCCGCCCUGUCAAGACUCCAUCUCUCCUCUGGCUCCGCCUCUCCUGCGCCAACCCCUCCCGUUGGCCCCAGCCUCUCACCUCCGCAAUCUGUGGACUUUCGACAAAGGUAAAGGUGCUUUCUGCAUAUGUGACACCAGAGCAGAAGCUGCAACAUCGUACCUGAGGGGAGAGAUCAAGGCUCUAUUUAUCCUAACAGAGGAGGCUACAAGUAGAGGGCAGGGUCAAGGGCUGGGGAGGGAUCAGGCGCCUAAUCCCUAGAGGUCAGCCCAAGGGGCGGGGCUAGAAGGCAGUCCUCCCUGAAGAGGGGUGUAACCAGUCUCAGGAAAGAGCCCCCAGAGAAGGGGACCCGUUGCCCAGGAAGUCCGCUGUGCAGAAGGACUACUGGGGACCAGGAACCUCUCAGACGUGGGGAAGGAAGAACCGUUGAGAUCCAAAGCAGGAGGAGAAAGGCUGGGUAUUCACGGGGCAAGGAUGAGGGAUAAAAAACCAUCUUCCAUAA